RNA transcript from Triticum dicoccoides, 2187 nucleotides. It is a transcript of the gene named glycosyltransferase BC10-like, with no coding region annotated. The transcript has 3 exons. The record is from RefSeq and is a predicted model, not a curated record. Lineage: Eukaryota; Viridiplantae; Streptophyta; Magnoliopsida; Poales; Poaceae.
CCAAACACCACCCCAUCGAUUGCAGCCCAGUCCCGCCAGAACCGCGAGAUCCGAUCCGACCACCGCCAGCAGCAGAUUCGGCGCCACGGCGACGGAGCUCGCCUCUGUCCUCCUCCCCGCCCGCCGUCUCCUCCCGCGGAGGCUGGUUUCAUCCUCCAGGUGCGCGAGCGCUCUCUGUUCGUGAAAUCUUUCUCCCUGCUCGAUCCAUGCCCGGGAGGUGCUCGUCCUUGCCCGCAAGAUCCGUCCGGAGCAGGAUUCCUCUGUGAUCCGGCGCGUCUCGGCCUUCCUCCCCGGAGCCAAGAUCCGGGAUUCCCUUUUCGGUUUCUCUUUCUCGAGCGAGCGCGCGUUCCGCCGGAGCGCCGGGCAUGGCGUACGCGUCGCCGUACGUGCUCUCGUUCCUGCUGCUGCUGUCCAUGCCGGCGGUGUACUACCUCGGCCCGCGCCUGCUGCUGCCCAGGACGCUCCCGGCCAUCCCGGACGCGGACGAGACGGAGGACCUCGCGCUCUUCCGCCGCGCCGUGCUCCUCUCGGCCGCGCCCUCCGCCGGCGCCGGCGCGGCGGCCUCCUCCUUCGGCGUGUUCGGCCGCCGCCCGCAGGCGCCGCGGCCCAAGGUGGCCUUCCUCUUCCUCACCAACUCCGACCUCGUCUUCGCGCCGCUCUGGGAGAAGUUCUUCGCGGGGCACCACGGCCUGCUCAACCUCUACGUCCACGCCGACCCCGCCGCCAACCUCACGCUGCCGCCGACCCCGUCCUUCCGCGGCCGCGUCAUCCGGGGCAAGGCCACGGCGCGCGCCUCCGCCACGCUCAUCUCCGCGGCGCGCCGCCUCCUCGCCACCGCGCUCCUCGACGACCCGGCCAACCGCUUCUUCGCGCUGCUCUCCCAGUCCUGCGUCCCGCUCCUCCCGUUCCCCGCCCUCUACCGCACCCUCCUCACCGACAACAAUGCCGCCGGCGCCGGCCGCCACCGCCGCCACCGCAGCUUCAUCGAGAUCCUGGACAGCGAGCCCACGCUGCACGCCCGCUACUACGCGCGCGGCGACAACGUGAUGCUCCCGGAGGUGCCCUUCGACCGCUUCCGCGUCGGCUCCCAGUUCUUCGUGCUCGCCAGGCGGCACGCCGUCAUGGUGGUCCGGGACCGGCGGCUCUGGAACAAGUUCAAGGCGCCGUGCCUCGUCAAGGAGAAGGACUCGUGCUACCCGGAGGAGCACUACUUCCCGACGCUGCUCGACAUGCAGGACCCCGACGGCUGCACCAAGUACACCCUCACCAGGGUCAACUGGACCGACGCCGUCGGCGGCCACCCGCACACCUACCAGCCGGAGGAGGUCUCCGGGGACCUCAUCAGGGAGCUCAGGAAGUCCAACGGCACCUACUCCCACAUGUUCGCGCGCAAGUUCGCGCCCGAGACCCUUGCGCCGCUCAUGGAGAUCGCCGACUCCGUCAUCCUCCGUGACUAGGCGCGAAGUGUUCGUGGAGAUGAACAGAACAAGGGUUGGUGAUGUGAUGAAGAAGCACAAGCUGAUCCAUCCAUCCCCUUUGUGGUUUCUUCGGAGAGGAGCAAGCAACCAGCACCAAACCCACUUCGCCUUGUUGUUCCGUCGCUGGCCGUCGGCGAAGGGGAUGCUGCUGCUUGCCCAGGCUCAGAGAGUGAUGUGGUGUUGGUGGCGAAGUGCCCCGGCUGCCUCUAUCCUAUGAGCACAUGCUCUCGGGAGCCAAAUGGAAUUUUGUCAUGGUGGAAUUUCAGACAAAGCCUUAUUUUGCAUCAAGCAUAAAGACGGACGUGUAGUUUUUGCACCCGAGCUCAAAUGAGCUCAGUUGAACAUUAGAAUAAAAAAAGUUUAAAAAUGAAUUUUUUAUGCCGAACUUUGACAAAUGUUCUAAGAGCUUGUAAAGUUUCAUCAGGAGAUCACAUUUGUGGAAGUCGUGAGAAAAAAAACAAAAUCGGUACUCUUAAAAUGCUACUUUCGAAAGAAUGAGCACUGAUUUUGGUUUUUUGCCACAACUUCAACAAAUGUGAUCUCCUAAUGAAAUUUUGCAAGCUCUUAAAACAUUUGUCAAAGUUUCCCAUGAAAAAAAUUCAGAUCUUUUUUAACAUUAAAAAAAUCGAGUUACUGUUCAUUCCGAGCUAAUUUGAGCUCGGGUGUAGAAAGGGGCUUUCGAGGAAAGACAGAGUUAAGUAUUCCAACA